GACGAACGCUGGCGGCGUGCUUAACACAUGCAAGUCGAGCGGAAAGGCCACUUCGGUGGCACUCGAGCGGCGAACGGGUGAGUAACACGUGAGUAAUCUGCCCCUGGCUUUGGGAUAACCACCGGAAACGGUGAUUAAUACCGGAUACGACCACUUCUCGCAUGGGAUGGUGGUGGAAAGUUUUUUCGGCCAGGGAUGUGCUCGCGGCCUAUCAGCUUGAUGGUGAGGUAAUGGCUCACCAUGGCUUCGACGGGUCGCCGGCCUGAGAGGGUGACCGGUCACACUGGGACUGAGACACGGCCCAGACUCCUACGGGAGGCAGCAGUGGGGAAUAUUGGACAAUGGGCGGAAGCCUGAUCCAGCAACGCCACGUGAGGGAUGACGGCCUUCGGGUUGUAAACCUCUUUCAGCAGGGACGAAGCGCAAGUGACGGUACCUGCAGAAGAAGCACCGGCCAACUACGUGCCAGCCGCCGCCGUAA
This 481-nucleotide ribosomal RNA is filed under the name uncultured bacterium. Its description in RNAcentral is "partial 16S ribosomal RNA". It matches the Rfam family "Bacterial small subunit ribosomal RNA", at positions 28 to 523 of the family's 1533-position model. The record is from RNAcentral.